GAUGAACGCUGGCGGCGUGCUUAACACAUGCCAGUCGAACGGAAAGGCUCCUGCUUGCAGGGGUACUCGAGUGGCGAACGGGUGAGUAACACGUGGGUGAUCUGCCCAGCACUUCGGGAUAAGCCUGGGAAACUGGGUCUAAUACCGGAUAGGACGAUGGUUUGGAUGCCAUUGUGGAAAGUUUUUUCGGUGUGGGAUGAGCUCGCGGCCUAUCAGCUUGUUGGUGGGGUAAUGGCCUACCAAGGCGUCGACGGGUAGCCGGCCUGAGAGGGUGUACGGCCACAUUGGGACUGAGAUACGGCCCAGACUCCUACGGGAGGCAGCAGUGGGGAAUAUUGCACAAUGGGCGCAAGCCUGAUGCAGCGACGCCGCGUGGGGGAUGACGGCCUUCGGGUUGUAAACUCCUUUCGCUAGGGACGAAGCGCAAGUGACGGUACCUGGAGAAGAAGCACCGGCUAACUACGUG
Molecule: ribosomal RNA, 466 nt
Filed under: uncultured bacterium
Lineage: Bacteria
Description: partial 16S ribosomal RNA
Rfam family: Bacterial small subunit ribosomal RNA
Source: RNAcentral